GGUUAAGCGAAUAAGCGUACACGGUGGAUGCCUAGGCAAUCAGAGGCGAUGAAGGACGUGCUAAUCUGCGAAAAGCGUCGGUAAGGUGAUAUGAACCGUUAUACCCGACGAUAUCCGAAUGGGGAAACCCAGUAUCCAAUGGAUACUAUCAUUAACUGAAUCCAUAGGUUAAUGAGGCGAACCGGGAGAACUGAAACAUCUCAGUACCCCGAGGAAAAGAAAUCAACCGAGAUUCCCCUAGUAGCGGCGAGCGAACGGGGAGCAGCCCAGAGUCUUAAUCAAUAGCAGUGUCAGGAGAACGGUCUGGAAAGUCCGGCAGUAAAGGGUGAUAGCCCCGUAUCUGAAGAUGCUGUUGUUGUGAACUCGACGAGUAGGGCGGGACACGUGUUAUCCUGUCUGAAUAUGGGGGGACCAUCCUCCAAGGCUAAAUACUCCUGAUUGACCGAUAGUGAACCAGUACCGUGAGGGAAAGGCGAAAAGAACCCCGGCGAGGGGAGUGAAAAAGAACCUGAAACCGUGUACGUACAAGCAGUAGGAGCCUCUUUAUGGGGUGACUGCGUACCUUUUGUAUAAUGGGUCAGCGACUUAUAUUCUGUAGCAAGGUUAACCGCAUAGGGGAGCCGUAGGGAAACCGAGUCUUAACUGGGCGAAUGAGUUGCAGGGUAUAGACCCGAAACCCGGUGAUCUAUCCAUGGGCAGGUUGAAGGUUGGGUAACACUAACUGGAGGACCGAACCGACUAAUGUUGAAAAAUUAGCGGAUGACUUGUGGAUGGGGGUGAAAGGCCAAUCAAACCGGGAGAUAGCUGGUUCUCCCCGAAAGCUAUUUAGGUAGCGCCUCGUGAACUCAUCUUCGGGGGUAGAGCACUGUUUCGACUAGGGGGUCAUCCCGACUUACCAACUCGAUGCAAACUGCGAAUACCGAAGAAUGUUAUCACGGGAGACACACGGCGGGUGCUAACGUCCGUCGUGAAGAGGGAAACAACCCAGACCGCCAGCUAAGGUCCCAAAGUCAUGGUUAAGUGGGAAACGAAGUGGGAAGGCUCAGACAGCCAGGAUGUUGGCUUAGAAGCAGCCAUCAUUUAAAGAAAGCGUAAUAGCUCACUGGUCGAGUCGGCCCGCGCGGAAGAUGUAACGGGGCUAAACCAUGCACCGAAGCUGCGGCAGCGACACAAAGUGUUGUUGGGUAGGGGAGCGUUCUGUAAGCCUGCGAAGGUGUACUGUGAGGUAUGCUGGAGGUAUCAGAAGUGCGAAUGCUGACAUAAGUAACGAUAAUGCGGGUGAAAAACCCGCACGCCGGAAGACCAAGGGUUCCUGUCCAACGUUAAUCGGGGCAGGGUGAGUCGACCCCUAAGGCGAGGCUGAAAAGCGUAGUCGAUGGGAAACGGGUUAAUAUUCCCGUACUGGUGGUAACUGCGAUGGGGGAACGGAGAAGGCUAGGUUGUCCGGGCGACGGUCGUCCCGGUUCAAGCAGGUAGGCAGAGUGAUUAGGCAAAUCCGGUCACUUAAUGCUGAGAUGUGAUGACGAACCACCAAGGUGGUGAAGCAAUUGAUGCCCCGCUUCCAGGAAAAGCCUCUAAGCUUCAGGUUACCAACAAUCGUACCCCAAACCGACACAGGUGGUCAGGUAGAGAAUACUCAGGCGCUUGAGAGAACUCGGGUGAAGGAACUAGGCAAAAUGGUGCCGUAACUUCGGGAGAAGGCACGCUGGCGGUAGGUAAAGUCCCUCGCGGACGGCGCUGAAGCCAGUCGAAGAUACCAGCUGGCUGCAACUGUUUAUUAAAAACACAGCACUGUGCAAACACGAAAGUGGACGUAUACGGUGUGACGCCUGCCCGGUGCUGGAAGGUUAAUUGAUGGGGUCAGCCGUAAGGCGAAGCUCCUGAUCGAAGCCCCAGUAAACGGCGGCCGUAACUAUAACGGUCCUAAGGUAGCGAAAUUCCUUGUCGGGUAAGUUCCGACCUGCACGAAUGGCGUAAUGAUGGCCAGGCUGUCUCCACCCGAGACUCAGUGAAAUUGAACUCGCUGUGAAGAUGCAGUGUACCCGCGGCAAGACGGAAAGACCCCGUGAACCUUUACUAUAGCUUGACACUGAACAUUGAGCCUUGAUGUGUAGGAUAGGUGGGAGGCUUUGAAGUGUGGACGCCAGUCUGCAUGGAGCCAACCUUGAAAUACCACCCUUUAACGUUUGAUGUUCUAACCUAGGCCCAUAAACUGGGUCGGGGACCGUGUCUGGUGGGUAGUUUGACUGGGGCGGUCUCCUCCUAAAGAGUAACGGAGGAGCACGAAGGUUGGCUAAGCAUGGUCGGACAUCAUGCGGUUAGUGCAAAGGCAUAAGCCAGCUUGACUGCGAGAGUGACGGCUCGAGCAGGUACGAAAGUAGGUCUUAGUGAUCCGGUGGUUCUGAAUGGAAGGGCCAUCGCUCAACGGAUAAAAGGUACUCCGGGGAUAACAGGCUGAUACCGCCCAAGAGUUCAUAUCGACGGCGGUGUUUGGCACCUCGAUGUCGGCUCAUCACAUCCUGGGGCUGAAGUAGGUCCCAAGGGUAUGGCUGUUCGCCAUUUAAAGUGGUACGCGAGCUGGGUUUAGAACGUCGUGAGACAGUUCGGUCCCUAUCUGCCGUGGGCGUUGGAAGAUUGAGAGGGGUUGCUCCUAGUACGAGAGGACCGGAGUGAACGCACCACUGGUGUUCGGGUUGUCAUGCCAAUGGCAUUGCCCGGUAGCUAAGUGCGGAAGAGAUAACCGCUGAAAGCAUCUAAGCGGGAAACUUGCCUCGAGAUGAGUCUUCCCUGUCGCUUUAAGUGACCUAAAGGAACGUUUAAGACUAAGACGUUGAUAGGCUGGGUGUGUAAGCGUAGCGAUACGUUGAGCUAACCAGUACUAAUGAACCGUGAGGCUUAACCUG
Molecule: ribosomal RNA, 2903 nt
Filed under: Proteus mirabilis
Lineage: Bacteria; Pseudomonadati; Pseudomonadota; Gammaproteobacteria; Enterobacterales; Morganellaceae
Description: 23S ribosomal RNA
Rfam family: Bacterial large subunit ribosomal RNA
Source: RNAcentral